UUUUUGUUUUUGUUUUUACAGAUGAGGAAAUGGGCAAAAUGGGGAUAAAAAAUCCACCAUUUACCGUUUAGCAUAAUAGAGACGGGCACUGCAUUGAGCACCUUAAAUGAACACUGAUCGUAAACAAUAGCUAAUACGACCCUCUCGUUGGUACCCUUCACUUUUUUACACAUUUGACCAGCAAACGAGGACAGAGCCUGUGUUUAAGUUGAAAUACAAGGAUCAGGUGGGAAAUGCCCACUGGCAGAGCACAGGAGAGGAGUGAUGGCUGUUGGCUGAGCCAGAACAUAAAGUUUUUCAGGGCAUGAAGUUAUCUUUGUCUUCUAGCUUAGUUUGAUGGAUUGUUUUAAAGGAGCUGGUAUUGUCAUACCGGGGGAAAAAAAAAAGUCAUCAAAGUGUGCUAAGAAAAGGCUAUUUGGGGCAGGUUCCAGCACAAGGAAUGCCUCCCCCAAAUAACCCCUAUUGUUGCAGCUACUCCUUAUCGGUCCUGCCAGGAGCACCAUAAAUCACCUCUAAAUUGACUAUUAUGUCAUUAUUGGGCAUUGGAUGACAAAUAUUCUGGGCAACCUCAUGGAUUCCAGGGAGAUAGUUUUCUGGCUCGUGUCAACUCAAACAAAAGUACUUAGGAGCAGUGCUGAAUUUAUGCCACCUUUUGAAUCUCCGAAUCUCUUCUAUCAUCUUUUUUUUUUUUUUUUUAAUGCAAUAAACAGUCAGGAAAAGUUAGUUCCAGCAUCCUGGCAUAAUGGUGGUGAAUGAAAAUAUGCCCGAUUCAGAGAUGCUGUCAUUGUUUUAGACUCUAUUUGAAACUGCCUACAAAGAGGUAAGAACUUUACCUGCCCAGGAAUGCGCACUUUUGCAGGUAUCUGGUGGGAUCAACCUUACAGAGAAUGCAGAGCCGAGCAGCCAGGGGCCCAUCGGGGGCCAUAGGGUGUAAUCAUGCCAGAUUUCAAGAGUGAUCCUCUCAUGAGAGGCAGCCAAUCCAUCUAAUCCUGAGCCAGGGAGGAGUAGUUAUUCAGGGGUGGUGCUAUGUACCCUUUAUGAAUUAUGCAUCUUAAACAAACUUCCAUGCACCUGGGCACUCGAGUGGAAGCCUUUUAGCUAGAAGGAGGCCACCAGAGAGCCCCAUUAUGGAUCUCUGCAAUGGUUUUUAAAUGUUGUAUUUCAUCACUCACGUCAGGCAGAGUGCUGGCUGUGACUCAGGUCCUGGUUGCGAUCCAUUCCCGUUUGUACACGGAUGGCCAUCUUACAGCUUUUUUCAUCAUGGAGCUUUCAAAAUACUGCUGCCCUUGAGGUGAAAAUUACUAGGAUUACCACUUUCUUGUUUUAGGGGCUACAAGGAGGGCUUGGCCAUGCCCUAUGGGCUCCUGAGUGCCAGUGGUGCCCUGAGACAGAUUCCAAACAGGACAGAGAAAGGGUGGGAAGUUCCAUAUUGUUUGGGAAGAGGACAGUGGGGGAGAGAAGCAACAGGAAGGAAGAAAUGUACUUGGAGAGCAGUAAAUGCUCCCCCAGAAAUACAGAACUUGUUCAUGUCCAGAGCUGCUCAGUUCAACACAAGAGCACGGGUUUCAUAAUAGAGAAACCCGAGCAUGAUAAGGAACACACAGGACUAGGAAUCAAGAUAUAUGGACCUAGAACACUGCUGCCUGCUGGAUACCCAAUAAUCAAUAGCUGAAAUAUAUUUGAUUGGGUGGUAUUGAACUGAAAUAAUUUGCUUGACUCUACAUUGAACUAUCUCUAAUUGGGGACAAUACUACUACUACCUAGAAUUUAUUGAGUAGUGAGUAUAUAGCAAGUGUUUUAGGUUUGCACAUGCAUUGUCACAUUUAAUCUCAGCCACUCUGUAAGAUAAGCACUGCAGUAUUUCCAUUUUGUAAAUAAGGAAAAGGAGGCUUUGAACAGGCUAAUAAGCAGGGGGUGACUGGGUGGCUCAGUCAGCUAAGAGUCCAAAUCUUGGUCUUGGCUCAGGUCCUGAUGUCAAGGUCAUGAGAUUGAGCCCCUCGGGGGGCUCCAAGCUCAGAUGAGUCUGCUUGAGAUUCUCUCCAUCCCUCUGCGCCCCUUGCCCUGCUUGCUCACUCUCUCUCAAAUAAGUAAAUAAUAUCUUAAAAACAAAACAAAAAAAGAGGCUAAGCAGGUUUUCUUGCAAUCAUAUUGCCCAGAAGUGACACAACUAUGAUUCAAACCCAAACAACUCUUUUGUUGGCCCUCUUCAAGAGUAUGCCAUAUUGUCUAGCACCAGUCCUUAACUUGUCAAGGGGUGACCAUAACCCAUGCCUUACCCACCUCAUAAGGAUUAUUUCUGGUUUCAACAGAAGCAGUGAAACUCAAAGCAAGUAAUCAAGUGCUGUUAAAGCUAAUGGCACCAUUAGUAUUUCCUAAAUCCAGUCUAUAAUCAUGGUUAACAAGGGUAGGCAUCUGGGGCAGAUAUCUGGGCAUGGAUUCAAGUGUUAAGUCCUGCCACUUCCUAGCUGCAUGAAUAUGGACAAAUUAUUUAGCUUCCCCCAGCCUCAGGUGCCCCACCUAUAAACUGGGGAUAAUAAUGAUCCCUACCUCCUAGAGGGUUUUGGGGGGUUUAAAUGAGAUAAUCCCUAUAAAGUCAUAAGCACAGCACUUUGGAGAUUCCCAGCAUUUGUGAAUGAGUAACUUCUAUUAGUGUUAACUUAUCAUCCCUAUAAGCUCAUUCUCUCCAAGUACUGGCUAGGCUCUAGUUUGAAAAACCAGGAGCUAGAGCUUCCUGCACUUGUCUCUGAGCACCUGAUGAGCCACAGCCCCUCUGAUUACACCUCUGGAGCACCAAUGGUAGCCAGCCUGGGAACUGGAAAUGCAUGAGACUCUGUAGACUGUCUUGAUGGCCAGAGUGACAGGAACAAUGACUGUUCUGCUGUCAUCAUCAUGAAAGAAAAGCCUCCCUUGCACCUGGAUGUCCCCACUCCCUGGAGUCACCCAGUUGACCAUAUUCAUCAUCUAAGUACCUGUGUAAUUUGUAAGACUGUCCUUCCUGUCUGAGUAUAACCAGUUAGUUGCCCCUUUCCUCUCUGAAAGAAAUUUGUCAUCUCCUGUCAUGCACCAUAUUUAAGGGAUCGUUGCUAACAGUUAUGCUUCUUUAGAAAGAUAAAUCCAGGGGCACCUGGGUGGCUCAGUCAGUUGAGUGUCUGACUCUUGGUUUCAGCUCAGAUUGUGAUCUUGGGGUCAUAAGAUUGAACUCCAGGUUGGGCUCCAUACUCAGUGGGGAGUCUGCCUGGGAUUCUCUCCCUCCCUCCUUCUACCCC
RNAcentral lists this long non-coding RNA (3266 nucleotides) under Canis lupus familiaris (dog). RNAcentral describes it as "lncRNA (ENSCAFG00000052047.1, ENSCAFG00805027731.1, ENSCAFG00845011421.1)". Lineage: Eukaryota; Metazoa; Chordata; Mammalia; Carnivora; Canidae. The record is from RNAcentral.